CCCUAUUACCCUCCCUAAUCCUCCCCCAUUACCCUCCCUCAUCCUCCCCCGUUAACCUCCCUCGUUACCCUCCCUAAUCCUCCCCCGUAACCCCUCUAACUCCCAGGUCUUUGUGCUGUGCUGAUAUAUAUAUAUAUAGACUAAAGCUUUUCAGGGUCAUCAUCAAUGUAAAUGACAAUGAGACACGUGAUUCCUCCCAGUUCAUCAGUCAAGUCUACUAAAAAGCCAUAGAGCCUCAUUGUAAACCAGCGGCAGAAAGGAAACCUGUUAACACGCAGCGUCGUCGUGUCUCUUCAAUAGAAGACUAAUGGAUCACAGGAUAAUAUCGUCUGAAACACGAGAGAAGCUAGGAGCCCGGGGCUCCGUGGCGACUAGGCAGCUAUAGGGGGAUUGUACAUUGCUCAUAGUUUAAACUUUCUUUCUAUAAAAAUUCCUCAACUUCCUUUUGUUGAUUUCAAGCAUAAACGUUGUCCAGCUUUUCCACGGACAACAUCGUCCCUUUCCUUCCUCUCUUCUUCCUCGGUUUGGCAUGACGGUCGUAGUAAUGACUAGGAACAUUACAUACUACUACACUGGGUUGAGUUAGAGAGAGAGAGAGAAACAGAGAGAGAGACAGAGAGACGAAGAGAGCGCGAGAGAUGAAGAGAGAGAGAGAGAGAGACGAAGAGAGAGAGAGAGACGAAGAGAGAGAGAGAGACGAAGAGAGAGAGAGACGAAGAGAGAGAGAGACGAAGAGAGCGAGAGAGAGAGAGAGACAAAGAGAGCGAGAGAGAGAGAGAGAGAGAGAGGAAAAGAGAGAGGAAAAGAGAGAGAGAGAGAGAGAGACGAAGAGAGAGAGAGACAAAGAGAGAGAGAGGAAAAGAGAGAGAGAGGAAAAGAGAGAGAGAGGAAAAGAGAGAGAGAGAGACAAAGAGAGAGAGAGAGAGAGGAAAGAGAGAGAGGAAAAGAGAGAGAGAGAGAGAGACGAAGAGAGAGAGAGACAAAGAGAGAGAGAGAGAGACAAAGAGAGAGAGAGAGAGAGAGGAAAAGAGAGAGAGAAAGAGAGAGAGAGAGAGAGAGAGAGAGAGAGAGAGAGAGAGAGAGAGAGACGAAGAGAGAGACAGAGAGACGAAGAGAGAGAGAGAGAGAGAGAGAGAGAGACGAAGAGAGAGACAGAGAGAGACUUGGGUGCAGCGUCACGUCUCAACAGACAGAAGUCUUGUCCCUCGUCUAACCGUCAUCUCCACAGACACACAAUAACACCCAGUGAUAACGGAUCAGAGGGCUUUAGUGACCUGGUCCCUUCUCCCUGAUGGUUUAAGGUUAGGAUGUAAGGAGGAGAGAUGAUCCUACAUCUGUGUUAAAGGGGAGGACUUGUGCCCAAAAGCAUGGUAUUCCCUGAACAGCCUUGAAGAACCAAAAUCAGAUUUAGAACCCCUUUCCUGAGUCAGGCUAAGAGCCAAUCAGAACCCCUUUUCCUGAGUCAGGCUAAGAGCCAAAUCAGAACCCCUUUUCCUGAGUCAGGCUAAGUGGCGGUCCUCUGAAACAAUAGCAACUAGCACCAUGCUAACAGCGCCAUGCUAGCAGCACCAUGCUAGCAGCACCAUGCUACCCUGAAAUGUAGUUAACUCAUCCCACGUGACAGUACCCUCUGCUGGGUUAGAUCAGCACAGAGACACCCCUCAUACCACCACACUACCAGCCUGUCUACCCUGUCAGAGCACAACAACACACACUAACAUACACACACCAUCCAGGCCUCCUAGUCUGCAGAGAGAGAGACAGACAGGCCUCCUAGUCUGCAGAGAGAGAGACAGACAGGCCUCCUAGUCUGCAGAGAGAGAGACAGACAGGCCUCCUAGUCUGCAGAGAGAGACAGACAGGCCUCCUAGUCUGCAGAGAGAGACAGACAAGCCUCCUAGUCUGCAGAGAGACAGACAGGCCUCCUAGUCUGCAGAGAGAGAGACAGGACGCAGACUAGGAGGCUGUCUUCUCUCCUCUCCUUCCAUCUUUAAAUAAUCCAAGUGCAAAUCCAAAAAGCUCCUCAGUUCAGCGUCUCAAUAAAGUUAUUAUUAACACCUCAGUUCAGCGUCUCAAUAAAGUUAUUAUUAACACCACAGUUCAGUGUCUCAAUAAAGUUAUUAUUCACACACACAAAAAUAAACCUGGUUUCCAAUGUUUCAUGCAACAGUUUGUUAAAACAAAAAAGUGAGAUAAGCCAAAAAAAUAUAUAUAUAUCUGGAAUUAAGUAAACAAAUAUUAUUAUUGUUGUUGUUGAUUGAAUGAUAUUUGGUAGAGCGGUUGUUUAACACGGUUGAAUACUGGCACAGCACUGGCAGAAUAAUACUCAAGGGGGUUUGUAUUGUACGCUAAUGCUUUUAAGUUAUUCAGUACAGUCAAGGAACGCGACGUCAAAACAACACAACUAGCAACUUCUACCAGUCAAAUAAAACUACUGGGAGAGAAACAACAGUUUUUAUUAUUAUUUUGUUCGUUUUUUUUUUUUAAAGACACUAAAUAAAAAUCGAAGUAAAUAAAUGAAGGUCCAUGGCUUUGCCUAAUGCUGUUUUGAAGCUUUCACACAUUGUGCAUCAUCAUAACUCAACAAUCAACAUUGUAAAUAGUGGCUAAAUCUAUGUUUAUUAUUUAAAGGCAUUGUGUUUACGACCAACGAUAGGUUACAUUCACCCCCCCAGCGAUGACAGACAGAGAGCCAUCUAGGGAGGUAUGAAGAAGCCAAAACACCCCCUUCCCGAUUCAACAGGACCGAUUCUAAAAUGGCUGCCUGCUCCCCACACCAGCAGUAGUGCACUAAAGGGAAUAACAACGGGAGUCUUUAGAGCCACACAGAUGAGACUACCAGUCUUACCUGUCAAGACUACCAGUCUUACCUGUCAAGACUACCAGUCUUACCUGUCAAGACUACCAGUCUUACCUGUCAAGACUACCAGUCUUACCUGUCAAGACUACCAGUCUUACCUGUCAAGACU
Molecule: long non-coding RNA, 2969 nt
Filed under: Salmo salar (Atlantic salmon)
Lineage: Eukaryota; Metazoa; Chordata; Actinopteri; Salmoniformes; Salmonidae
Description: lncRNA (ENSSSAG00000110874.1)
Source: RNAcentral